This 492-nucleotide ribosomal RNA is filed under the name uncultured bacterium. RNAcentral's name for it is "partial 16S ribosomal RNA". It matches the Rfam family "Bacterial small subunit ribosomal RNA", at positions 29 to 507 of the family's 1533-position model. The record is from RNAcentral.
AGUGAACGCUGGCGGUAGGCCUAACACAUGCAAGUCGAACGGCAGCACAGUAAGAGCUUGCUCUUACGGGUGGCGAGUGGCGGACGGGUGAGGAAUACAUCGGAAUCUACUUUUUCGUGGGGGAUAACGUAGGGAAACUUACGCUAAUACCGCAUACGACCUACGGGUGAAAGCAGGGGAUCUUCGGACCUUGCGCGAUUGAAUGAGCCGAUGUCGGAUUAGCUAGUUGGCGGGGUAAAUGCCCACCAAGGCGACGAUCCGUAGCUGGUCUGAGAGGAUGAUCGGCCACACUGGAACUGAGACACGGUCCAGACUCCUACGGGAGGCAGCAGUGGGGAAUAUUGGACAAUGGGCGCAAGCCUGAUCCAGCCAUACCGCGUGGGUGAAGAAGGCCUUCGGGUUGUAAAGCCCUUUUGUUGGGUAAGAAAAGCAGCAGGUUAAUACCCCGCUGUUCUGACGGUACCCAAAGAAUAAGCACCGGCUAACUUCGUG